This 796-nucleotide ribosomal RNA is filed under the name uncultured archaeon. RNAcentral's name for it is "bacterial SSU rRNA". It matches the Rfam family "Archaeal small subunit ribosomal RNA", at positions 85 to 879 of the family's 1478-position model. The record is from RNAcentral.
ACGGCUCAGUAACACGUGGAUAACCUGCCCUUGGGUCCGGCAUAACCCCGGGAAACUGGGGAUAAUUCCGGAUAACGCACAUAUGCUGGAAUGCUUUAUGCGUAAAAUGGAUUCGUCUGCCCAAGGAUGGGUCUGCGGCCUAUCAGGUAGUAGUGGGUGUAAUGUACCUACUAGCCAACAACGGGUACGGGUUGUGAGAGCAAGAGCCCGGAGAUGGAUUCUGAGACAUGAAUCCAGGCCCUACGGGGCGCAGCAGGCGCGAAAACUUUACAAUGCGGGAAACCGUGAUAAGGGGACACCGAGUGCCAGCAUCAUAUGCUGGCUGUCCAGGUGUGUAAAAUACACCUGUUAGCAAGGGCCGGGCAAGACCGGUGCCAGCCGCCGCGGUAACACCGGCGGCCCGAGUGGUGAUCGUGAUUAUUGGGUCUAAAGGGUCCGUAGCCGGUUUGGUCAGUCCUCCGGGAAAUCUGACGGCUUAACCGUUAGGCUUUCGGGGGAUACUGCCAGGCUUGGAACCGGGAGAGGUAAGAGGUACUACAGGGGUAGGAGUGAAAUCUUGUAAUCCCUGUGGGACCACCUGUGGCGAAGGCGUCUUACCAGAACGGGUUCGACGGUGAGGGACGAAAGCUGGGGGCACGAACCGGAUUAGAUACCCGGGUAGUCCCAGCCGUAAACGAUGCUCGCUAGGUGUCAGGCAUGGCGCGACCGUGUCUGGUGCCGCAGGGAAGCCGUGAAGCGAGCCACCUGGGAAGUACGGCCGCAAGGCUGAAACUUAAAGGAAUUGGCGGGGGAGCAC